RNAcentral lists this ribosomal RNA (575 nucleotides) under Marinobacter sp. RNAcentral describes it as "bacterial SSU rRNA". It matches the Rfam family "Bacterial small subunit ribosomal RNA", at positions 104 to 675 of the family's 1533-position model. Lineage: Bacteria; Pseudomonadati; Pseudomonadota; Gammaproteobacteria; Pseudomonadales; Marinobacteraceae. The record is from RNAcentral.
GGGUGAGUAAUGCAUAGGAAACUGCCCAGUAGUGGGGGAUAGCCCGGGGAAACCCGGAUUAAUACCGCAUACGUCCUUCGGGAGAAAGCAGGGGAUCUUCGGACCUUGCGCUAUUGGAUGUGCCUAUGUCGGAUUAGCUAGUUGGUGAGGUAAUGGCUCACCAAGGCGACGAUCCGUAGCUGGUCUGAGAGGAUGAUCAGCCACAUCGGGACUGAGACACGGCCCGAACUCCUACGGGAGGCAGCAGUGGGGAAUAUUGGACAAUGGGGGAAACCCUGAUCCAGCCAUGCCGCGUGUGUGAAGAAGGCUUUCGGGUUGUAAAGCACUUUCAGUGAGGAGGAAAAGUUAGUCCCUAAUACGGGCUAGCCUUGACGUUACUCACAGAAGAAGCACCGGCUAACUCCGUGCCAGCAGCCGCGGUAAUACGGAGGGUGCAAGCGUUAAUCGGAAUUACUGGGCGUAAAGCGCGCGUAGGUGGUUUGAUAAGCGAGAUGUGAAAGCCCCGGGCUUAACCUGGGAACGGCAUUUCGAACUGUCAAGCUAGAGUAUGGUAGAGGGUAGUGGAAUUUCCUGUG